UACGGAGGGUGCAAGCGUUGUCCGGAUUUAUUGGGCGUAAAGAGCGUGUAGGCGGUCAGGUAGGUCCGUUGUGAAAACUCGAGGCUCAACCUCGAGCUGUCGGCGGAAACCAUCUGGCUAGAGUCCGGAAGAGGAGAAUGGAAUUCCCGGUGUAGCGGUGAAAUGCGCAGAUAUCGGGAAGAACACCCGUGGCGAAGGCGGUUCUCUGGGACGGUACUGACGCUGAGACGCGAAAGCGUGGGGAGCGAACAGG
Molecule: ribosomal RNA, 253 nt
Filed under: uncultured bacterium
Lineage: Bacteria
Description: partial 16S ribosomal RNA
Rfam family: Bacterial small subunit ribosomal RNA
Source: RNAcentral